Molecule: ribosomal RNA, 400 nt
Filed under: uncultured bacterium
Lineage: Bacteria
Description: bacterial SSU rRNA
Rfam family: Bacterial small subunit ribosomal RNA
Source: RNAcentral
UAUUGGGCAAUGGGCGCAAGCCUGACCCAGCAACGCCGCGUGAGGGAAGAAGGCUUUCGGGUUGUAAACUUCUUUUCUCAGGGACGAAGCAAGUGACGGUACCUGAGGAAUAAGCCACGGCUACCUACGUGCCAGCAGCCGCGGUAAUACGUAGGCGGCAAGCGUUAUCCGGAUUUACUGGGUGGAAAGGGCGCGGAGGCGGGGACGCAAGUCAGAUGUGAAAACCACGGGCUCAACCUGUGGCCUGCAUUUGAAACUGUGUUUCUUGAGUACUGGAGAGGCAGACGGAAUUCCUAGUGUAGCGGUGAAAUGCGUAGAUAUUAGGAGGAACACCAGUGGCGAAGGCGGUCUGCUGGACAGCAACUGACGCUGAGGCGCGAAAGCGUGGGGAGCAAACAGG